This 3553-nucleotide long non-coding RNA is filed under the name Zea mays. RNAcentral describes it as "long non-coding RNA (ZMAY_LNC002642)". The record is from RNAcentral. Lineage: Eukaryota; Viridiplantae; Streptophyta; Magnoliopsida; Poales; Poaceae.
CAGAAGCGAACCCAGCCAUCGUUUCCAAGUACGCGCAGAGAGAGAGAGCCACAAGAGUUAGAGCGAAACAUCAGCGUAUGGAUCUAGGGGCUCGAGCAAGCAAGAGAGGAGAGAUGCCUGCGUCAAUAGAUCAUGUAUGAGGAAGGUAAAAGAUGACCACACCUAGAUCAUAUAUACUAUAUUUAUUUAACCCAUAAUUCUUGAUGUGGCCUCGUUCUAAUCAAUUAGAUCAUGUCAGAUCACCUAUUUAUGUACAGCCCUACUAAUUUAUUAAAAAUGUGAUAUCUUCUAGGUCAAAUAAUUCGUUUUAAUCUAUUCAAGUUGGGUUAGGUUCAUAUUAAUUUUUGCGUAUGUAGUAAUAAUAUUGCUUUAAUUAUGUCACAUGGUUUAAUUAAUUAAUUACUUGUUUAAUUAAUGUUAAUCAGCUAGAUAAUCUAGUUAAGCUAAUUUAUAGUUCUAACCUACACAUUUUAUAAAUAAUUGUUAAUAAUUAAUACUGACUCAAAUAUUUUAAUUGAAUACUUAUUUAGUUUAAAUGCAAUAUUUGUUAGAUCAUAUCUAUUAGAUUUAUUGUGCCUAAACUAUCGUUUUAUCCAUAAAUUCUUUGUUUUAGCUCCGAUUUUACUGGUUCUCGAAACUACAAUCUCGUAGCGACGCGUAGAUUAUUAACACGUAGUUUAUUCUUAUGUUUGGUGUGAUGUUAAUUUUGCCUAUACAUGUUUGUCUGUAUUGCUACGUUUAGCAGUGAGGACACGAGUCAUCUGAAAAGCAAGUUGGUACCUAGAAUCUCAAGUCCCAGGCAAGUUGUGUCCUUGAUCACUUCCUUUUACCCACUCAUGUUCUAAUUAAUCAUAAUGAUCUGCAUAGGUUAAUUUUGAUGGGACCCAAUAGGUUACCCUAGUUUGAUUAUCUUUAUACCUUGUUUACCACUGAACUUUUUGGGUAGUACUUGCUAGUGCUUUAUGUGGUUUUGGGUAUGAAGAUACAUUAUUCAUGAUCACACUGUUAUUAUCCGUUUAUUAUUACUGUUCAUGAUAAGAUCAUUAUGUUAAUUGGAACAUGGAGCGACCACCCGGGAAAACAGUGCUACCACAAGGGUUUAAUGGGACGCCCUUGGCUGAUUAAUUAGGAAAGCUAGUGGAGGACUACCUUACCCGAAAGGGGCAAGGGCAGUAGGGGAGUGGUCAGUGUAGGGAGGCCCUCGGGAGGAUUUUGCUGCGAUGGCGGUCCUGCAAGGGAUUCCUGCAUUGGAGCUUCCUAUAAACUGUAGCGGGUUUUCUGAAGCUAGUGGAACUUUGUAAAGGCCUCGUAGUGUUACCCUGCCUCGCCUCCUCGGUAGAGGUGUAUGGGAAGUCGCGAUCCCUUGGCAGAUGGGUAACAUGACUUGUGGGUAAAGAUGCGCCACCUCUGCAGAGUGUAAAACUGGUAUACUAGCCGUGCUCACGGUCAUGAGCAGCUCGGACCCUCACAUGAUUAAAUUAUGGAACUUAAAUUCAAUUUGUCAUAUGCAUUGCAUCGCAGGUGAUGUUGUUACUUCUGUUCUACUAUAUAAUUGGGUUGGUAUUUACUUAUACUUAGUAAUUGCUAAUAAAAUUUUGACCAACUUUAAAAGCAAUGCUCAGCUCUAACCAUCCUCUUUGGUAAGCCUUACACUUCACAUGAGCUCCCACCUUUGGCGAGUUCAUACACAUUAUUCCCCACAACUUGUUGAGCGAUGAACGUAUGUGAGCUCACUCUUGCUGUCUCACACCCCCCCACAGGUCAAGAACAGGUACCACAGGAUGAGGCGCAAGGAGGAUGCUGCGAUGAGUUCGUGAGAGAUCUAGGCCGUCGUCUCCCAGUCAACUUUGGGUUGCUGGACCGUUGUCUCCUUAUAAUGUAAUUAUUUAUUUUGUAUAGAACUCCUGUUAUAUAUAAAGAUGUGACAUUCGAUCCUGUGCCACUAUACAUCAUAUGUGUGAGACUUGGUCCCAGCAUACCUGGUGUUUAUGUUCGCGCCCGGGUCUUGGUGCCCCGAAACCCGGGUGUGACAGAAGUGGUAUCAGAGGAAUGUUGACUGUAGGACGAAACCUAGAUAGAACUGGACAACCAUUAUCUACUUACCUUGCUACUCUGAUUCUUCUUAAACUUUUCUUAAUCUUUUCUCAUAUAUUUUCGCUUACUCUAAUUAUUCUUACCUUUUCUUUCUAAAGACAAAUGUGGAUUUCACACUUUGAAAUCCUGCACCUAAAGUGACCUUUAGGAAUAGGAGACCUACUCAUAGGAACAAAAACAAAACUAAUUUUAUUGAUAUCUAUGAACUUGAAUGUUUGUUCUUAUGACACUUGUCUGAUUUGACUCUUUGAUUGAGUGUGAUGGGUUGUGGAGUAAUGUCCACAAUUACAUCUGCAUAUACAUAUGCGUAAAUAUAAAUAAAUAAAAUUUAUAAGAUAACUAAACAACCUAGAAUAUAUCGAGCCUAAUAGAUCCAUCUUAUCUUAAAAGAUUCUCUCUUAUCUUAAUAGAUUCAUCUUAUCUUGAAAGGUUUGUCUUAUCCUAACCACUUUGCUUGUCUCAUUAUAGUGUAACAACCAGGAUCCAAUCCAAAAUAAUGAGAUCUUAUCUAGUCUAAUCUAGUCACACAAAUAUAACUUAGAUCCGAUCUAAUGUGAUAGAUUAAUCUAACCUAACAAAGGCUAACCUUAAGUUGAGUUAAUCGAUGUGGCUACUUAAACAUGUUAGUUAAUACUAGUGAAAUAGAUUAGACACUACUAGCUAUGUUUUAACCUAAAUUGAUGCCUUAUAACAACUUGGCCAUACACAACUACUGAAGAUACAUGAUGGGUUGUCUAAACCAUCCAUUCCAACCUAAACAUCAAACCAGAUCUUGACCUACCUCAUGUGGCUUAUCCUACCCACAUAUAUACCUACAUGACCUUAAAAACCUAGCUGGAGACACCAAGAUCGAAGAUGAUCAACCUCGUCAAGGGAGGAUAAGAGACAACCCCGAUCUAUGGAUGCAUCAAGAUCUACAAUCCAGGAUGGAUUCUUUCUUCUGCCUAGUCUUUCCUUACCAUAACCAAUUCUUAUCUUGCCAAAUAGGUGGCUAAACAUAAAAAGAUACUCGUGCUUUUCCAAUCACCUACUAAUUAGUAUUAAAGACUUAAAAAAACUCUUAAUUUUGAACCAAUUAGAAACUAGAAUCUCAAUUACAAAUCAAUCAUUGUAUAACCUCUUCUUUUACUAAUCUCGAGGACGAGAUUAUUUUUAGGGGGGUAGAAUUUGUAACACUUCAAAAAUCUUAUUUUUGAUAUUUAUAAAAGUUUCUAAAAAAAUCGAGUUAAAACAUCUUUUAAUAAUAGAUUUCUUUCUUUAUAAAGGAUAUCUCUCUAAAAUAAAUAAGUGAUAGAUACUAUAUUUCUUUGGUUAUGCUUUAAUUGGAUCAUACAUUUAAGGAAUUAUUCUCUUUCACUAGUAUUUACGUAUGUACAAAUUAUAUAUAUAUAUAUAUAUAUAUAUAUAUAUAUAUAUAUAUAUAUAUAUAUAUAUAUAUAUAUAUAUAUAUAUGCGUUUA